AAUAUAGUUGAAUGGAGAUGAAUGAUGAAAAUCUCCAUUCCUAUUGGUCAAAAAUUAUGACCAAUGGACUUUGAGGAGGCUGCCCGAGGACAUAUUAGGAAUUAUGGUUAGUUUCUUGGAGCUAUUCGAGCUUUGAAGGCUAGGAUCAGCAAGUUUAGGUUUUUGGCUAUAGUUUUGGUACAAGUUUUAUAUGGUUUGGAGUUUAUAUGAAAGAGAUAUUGGUGCUCAAAGUUAAGGUGUUGAUUUGAGAGCUAUUGUCACUCUUUUUGUCAUAACGCACGCGUACAGAUAGCAAUUGAGGAUCGGCAACCACGACUAAAGAGCACUUUUGUAGCUACACUUUUCACAUACUGCUUACUAGAUUCUAAGUUCAAGUGAAGGAGUUAUUGGAUUUUGAAGUCAGUACAUGCAAUGUAAAGAUAGUAAGUGAUCUCAUUUAUUAGUGGUUGUGUCUUAAACUAUAUCUUGAGCAAUUUCAUAAGGUUUUAGCUCAAAAUUUCAAACAAUGUGUAAUUUCAUAUAAGUAAACUUUUUGUAUAAGUUUCAUGAUAUUUGAGAAUUGGAUUCUUGAGAUAUUAAGAAAAUAGUGCUCUGAUACUUAUAAAUUAGGGUUUUGAGCAUCUAUUAGGAU
This 631-nucleotide long non-coding RNA is filed under the name Physcomitrium patens. RNAcentral describes it as "long non-coding RNA (PPAT_LNC011460)". The record is from RNAcentral. Lineage: Eukaryota; Viridiplantae; Streptophyta; Bryopsida; Funariales; Funariaceae.